GCUUCAGUCAUUGGGGAGUAGCCUGUUCCGGAAAAUUUCUGGAAAAUUCGUAUCAACAUACUCGUUUUAAAUAAAACGUGGUGCGAAUACCUAAAGAGCCUAAUCAAUACAGGCUCUAAAUCGGUUGGCAAGACCAUAGGCACAUAACAACACCAUUAGGU
Xenorhabdus nematophila ATCC 19061 is the source of this 161-nucleotide non-coding RNA. The record is from Rfam. Lineage: Bacteria; Pseudomonadati; Pseudomonadota; Gammaproteobacteria; Enterobacterales; Morganellaceae.